GGGCGCGUAGCUCAGUUGGCUAGAGCACCUGCCUUACAAGCAGGGGGUCCCCCGUUCGAGCCGGGGCGCGCCCA
RNAcentral lists this transfer RNA (74 nucleotides) under bacterium. RNAcentral's name for it is "tRNA-Val". It matches the Rfam family "tRNA". From Rfam's summary of the family: Transfer RNA (tRNA) molecules are approximately 80 nucleotides in length. Their secondary structure includes four short double-helical elements and three loops (D, anti-codon, and T loops). RNAcentral also lists the same sequence under 2 other names. The record is from RNAcentral.